GCGGCGGCGCGGCCGGCGCGGGCCCGGGCCCUGCUGCAGCAGAGCCUCUCGGCCCGCCUGCAGGUGCGGCCGCCCGAGCGCGGCUGCGAGGCCCAGUGGGUGGAGAUCCAGAGAGGGCUUGUUAUCUACAUAUGCUUCUUCAAAGGUGCUGAUGAGGAUCUUGUCCCAAAAAUUGGUAUGAUAUAAUCCAUAUACAUUAUUGUAUUGUUUGAAAAAAGAAGAAAAGCAGUUGAGGCAGACAAGGUAGCAACCAUUUGGAUAAGCCAUAAGAUGGCAUUAUUCUAAAUCAAUUACCUGGCUGAAAGAACAGGUUGUCUGUUUCUUUUGACAGUUGUCCAUGCCUCUUUGUCUAUCUGUUCAUUACCAACCUAGAAAAGAAAUUUCCCCGAUCACUUUAUAGAAAACAAAGAAAAUGUUGCACCUUCUGUUUGUGGCAAUAGGCUCAGUCCAGGACAGAGCUGAAUUUCAAAUAGUUCAUGGCUUGAUUUGAUAGUAUUUUAACACUGAUCUGACUGUAUGUGCAGGAUAUUUAACAGCCGGUAGAGGGAGUUGUAUGGAUAAUGAAACAGUGUCUUUCCCAUCUCACUUCAGCAGUGCUUACAUACACUGUUAGCCUGUGCAGUUUUCUGGUUCAGAAGCAAUAACAGCAGCGUCUGCAAUUCUUACCUUCUUCUCCACAUGCACUUUAACAUUUACGUUGAAGCAGAGAAUAUGCUAUGGAUAAGGUCAAAUAAUAGCAAUUUUUGUCUUUACCCAAUGCUGUUUUGGCUUGAUUUUUUUUUUUUAAUUUUUUUUUCCUGUUUUUUUUUUUUUUUUUUUUUUAAUAUGUCAUUUCUUCUCCCUCCUUUCCUCCAUCAGUAGCACUGGUUCCCCUGGGAAAUUCUGUGAUGCCAUAUAUUCCAGAUAAAAAUGCCCCUUUUCUUCCCUGUGGCUGGCUGGUACUAGUGAUUUGGCUAAAGGUUGUGUAACAAUAUUUCACUAUUUCAGUCUGUUUCAGACUACUGGCUGGGACCAGUAGUGCACAGGUACAGGUGCUAUUAAAAAUGCUAAGAGCAACUCCUGGGGGUUCUCUCUUGGUCUUGAGGGGCACAGUCCUUCUGUAAUGCUAAAUAUUUAAAUAUGAUAUAAAAAUUUAUUUUGUGCUAAUAAGAUUUUGAUGAGAGUGUUGCUUGAGAACAAUUACAUUUUCAGCUAUGGGGCAGCUAAAACAGGCCAGAAAAAGAAAGUUCUGUUUCCUGUCAGGAGAUUCCUCUAGGACCAUCCUCCUUGAGUGCCUGUUUUAGAGAAUAUUGUUUCCUAAAUAUAUUUUGAAUCUGUUUAAGUGUGUGGGUCUGGUUCUUAAAUGACAACUCAGCUGUUUUUGCUUCUAACAACACUCCCCUGAUUCUAAACAUUUGUGUUUAGAGUUUGGAGGUAUGACUAGUAUCCUCCCACCUUUUACAGAGUUGGGGUAAUGAUUUGACUUGUUAUAGAAACAUGAGAAAAACUAAAGUUAGUAAAUGCAUUGAUUUUAUUUGCAAUUUUAUAUGUUCUGGCUUAUAAACUAAAUUGCAUGUGACCUUCCUGCCCACCUCCUGUGUCAAGUGACAAACUGGUUGCUGCAUGUCUAAAAGUGGAGAGCUGAAGGACACUUGCCCUACUUGAGACCAAACUGUGAAGCUAUGCCUUCAACUCGGUUCAGUGCUGGGUCCUGCUGCAAACACCUGCAACCAGCAUGAAAAGAGAGUCAGGGCAGAACACUCUCCAAAGUGCACUGAGGAUGCUGUGUCCUGUAAUGUGGAGUGUUGUGCAAAUGCUGCCUUUUUUGAAUAUCAAGCAAUUAAGGAAGGCUCACCAAUUGCAUCCUGGGUUCUUUUGGGGGUGUCCAACUAGAAUCAACUUUAGGAUUUCACAUAGCAAAUCGCUUCCCCCCAAAAUAGAACUUCAGACAUAUGCUGUUAAUAUCCUUCACAUUCCUCACAAUACUCAGACACAUUAGUUGGUUAAGUAUUUAUUGAUUGUCCACAUUCCAGUUCAUUAAUAAACAGUUUCUUUUACUCAGUGGUUUGUCACACAUCAAAACAUUUGUUGGAUCUUGUUCAUGAUGUCCUGUUUAAUUCACUUCAGUUAUACUAACUCUUAUUUUGCUUUUAU
Molecule: RNA transcript, 2133 nt
Organism: Parus major (Great Tit)
Lineage: Eukaryota; Metazoa; Chordata; Aves; Passeriformes; Paridae
Gene: DTD2
Gene name: D-aminoacyl-tRNA deacylase 2
Exons: 3
Source: RefSeq, a predicted model, not a curated record